GCGCGGGUGGCGGAACUGGCAGACGCGCAGGAUUUAGGUUCCUGUAGGGCAACCUGUGAGGGUUCGAGUCCCUCCUCGCGCA
RNAcentral lists this transfer RNA (82 nucleotides) under Planctomycetota bacterium. RNAcentral describes it as "Planctomycetes bacterium (freshwater sediment metagenome) tRNA-Leu". It matches the Rfam family "tRNA". From Rfam's summary of the family: Transfer RNA (tRNA) molecules are approximately 80 nucleotides in length. Their secondary structure includes four short double-helical elements and three loops (D, anti-codon, and T loops). The record is from RNAcentral. Lineage: Bacteria; Pseudomonadati; Planctomycetota.